Long non-coding RNA from Gorilla gorilla gorilla (western lowland gorilla), 1132 nucleotides. RefSeq lists it as uncharacterized. Lineage: Eukaryota; Metazoa; Chordata; Mammalia; Primates; Hominidae. The transcript is spliced from 3 exons. The record is from RefSeq and is a predicted model, not a curated record.
GGCAAGCCACUCGGGUCCUCUUCCACAGUGGAAGCUUUGUUAUUUCGCUCUUCGCAAUAAAUCUUGCUGUGGCUCACUCUUCGGGUCUGUGCAGCCUUUAUGGGCUGUAACACUCACCGCAAGGUCUGCAGUUUCACUCCUGAAGCCAGCCAGACCAUGAACACCAGGUGUUCUCCCUUCCUUCUUGCCUGUUAAACUCUCCGCUCCUUAAAACCACUCCACCUGUGUCCAUGUCGUUUUAUCGAAAUUGGCAUGAGGACCAAGAACCCUGGUGUUCCUCCACUCAUUAGAGCCGUAUCACUUUGGUGCACUGGCCAGGAAUGGAAAUUCAAUCAUCAGACUGACCUUUCACAAAUCAACUUCACAUGAAUGAUCUCAUCUAAGCCUGACAGAAAUUUUCCAAGAAACUUGAGGUUCAAAAUAGUGGAGGCUCCCACCUCCACUGUCCCACCCACUUUGUUGCACAGAUGAAUAUACCUUACGUACCUGCUCAGGCUGAAUGUAUUUAUUAGUGUGGAGGCAAUGAAGGGAAGCAGAGGCAUUCCUGCUGAAAACAAAGAUGAUCUUUCAAGGCAAGUCCCUCAGUUGUCUGUGCAAGAACCCAGGGAACUGGAGGCAUCUCUUCUGUUACAAGUGAGAGGAAAUGGCUUCUUCUAGGCCAAAGGGCUCAGGAGAAUCUGGAAGUCUAAGGUUCUAAGCUUAUCCAAUCAAAUGUCCCCACUGCAGUCUCAUUCUUUUUCUAUCCACGCCUUGGCUUUGACAUAAGAGAACUUUAAAGGUUAUACAAUUAGUUUCCUCUGCAGCUUUGCUACCUUUGUAAUUAAUUAGAACUUGGGCCUCUGCCUUGUAGCUGCAAGAGAUGAGGGUCUUUUGUUGUUGUUGUUGUUGUUUUUGAGACGGAAUCUCUCUGUCGCCAGGCUAGAGUGUGCAGUGGCGCGAUCUCAGCUCACUGCAACCUCUGACUCCUGGGUUCAAGUGAUUCUCCUGCCUCAGCCUCCCGAGUAGCUAGGACUACAGGCGCGCACAACCACGCCCAGCUAAUUUUUGUAUUUUUGUAGAGACGGGGUUUCACCAAGUUGGCCAGGGUGGUCUUGAUCUCUUGACCUUGUGAUCUGCUCGCCUCGGCCUCCCA